Molecule: ribosomal RNA, 486 nt
Filed under: uncultured Clostridiaceae bacterium
Lineage: Bacteria; Bacillati; Bacillota; Clostridia; Eubacteriales; Clostridiaceae
Description: partial 16S ribosomal RNA
Source: RNAcentral
UACGUAGUUAGCCGUGGCUUCCUCCUCAGGUACCGUCAUUAUCGUCCCUGAAGACAGAGCUUUAACAACCCGAAGGCCGUCAUCACUCACGCGGCGUUGCUGCAUCAGGGUUUCCCCCAUUGUGCAAUAUUCCCCACUGCUGCCUCCCGUAGGAGUCUGGGCCGUGUCUCAGUCCCAAUGUGGCCGAUCACCCUCUCAGGUCGGCUACGCAUCGUCGCCUUGGUGAGCCGUUACCUCACCAACUAGCUAAUGCGCCGCGGGCCCAUCUCAUAGCGGAUUGCUCCUUUAAUUGCUACUUCAUGCGAAGCUACAAUCUUAUGCGGUAUUAAUCUCCCUUUCGGAAGGCUAUUCCCCUCUAUGAGGCAGGUUGCCCACGUGUUACCCACCCGUCCGCCGCUAGCUUUGUUCCGAAGAACUCCACUCGCUCGACUUGCAUGUGUUAGGCACGCCGCCAGCGUCGUCCUCGUAGCCACGGAUCGAAACUAC